RNAcentral lists this non-coding RNA (28 nucleotides) under Bombyx mori (domestic silkworm). The record is from RNAcentral. Lineage: Eukaryota; Metazoa; Arthropoda; Insecta; Lepidoptera; Bombycidae.
UGCCUAGAUUGGUUCUGCUAAAGCGGGU